GGAGUCGGCCGGACAGUCGCCGCUGAACUUUCGGGUUCGGGGGAGGAAAGUCCGGGCUCCACAGGGCAGGAUGCCAGGUAACGCCUGGGCGGCGCGAGCCGACGGAAAGUGCAGCAGAGAGUAGACCGCCCAAGCGGUGUCGGGUCUCUCGGCACCGACGGCAAGGGUGAAAGGGUGCGGUAAGAGCGCACCGCACGCCUGGUAACAGGUCGUGGCAUGGUAAACCCCAUCCGGAGCAAGACCGAAUAGGAACCCAUUGGCGUGGCCCGCGUCGGGUUCGGGUAGGUUGCUUGAGGCGUUCGGUGACGAACGCCCUAGAGGAAUGACUGUUCUCGACAGAACCCGGCUUACAGGCCGACUCCCACC
This is a non-coding RNA of Kushneria marisflavi, 366 nucleotides long. It matches the Rfam family "Bacterial RNase P class A". From Rfam's summary of the family: Ribonuclease P (RNase P) is a ubiquitous endoribonuclease, found in archaea, bacteria and eukarya as well as chloroplasts and mitochondria. The record is from Rfam. Lineage: Bacteria; Pseudomonadati; Pseudomonadota; Gammaproteobacteria; Oceanospirillales; Halomonadaceae.